AAAACUUUCAACAACGGAUCUCUUGGUUCUGGCAUCGAUGAAGAACGCAGCGAAAUGCGAUAAGUAAUGUGAAUUGCAGAAUUCAGUGAAUCAUCGAAUCUUUGAACGCACAUUGCGCCCCGCGGCAUUCCGCGGGGCAUGCCUGUUCGAGCGUCAUU
This 158-nucleotide ribosomal RNA is filed under the name Nothopassalora personata. Its description in RNAcentral is "5.8S ribosomal RNA". It matches the Rfam family "5.8S ribosomal RNA". From Rfam's summary of the family: 5.8S ribosomal RNA (5.8S rRNA) is a component of the large subunit of the eukaryotic ribosome. It is transcribed by RNA polymerase I as part of the 45S precursor that also contains 18S and 28S rRNA. The record is from RNAcentral. Lineage: Eukaryota; Fungi; Ascomycota; Dothideomycetes; Mycosphaerellales; Mycosphaerellaceae.